UAUGUUUCGUACAAUAAGAGAUGAGGUGUAAAGGAAUUUCGUGUUGAACAGAUGCACGGCCUAAAUAUUAUCGAGUGAGUUCUCAGAGAAGGUGAAAAGCCUGUUUGGCUGUGUCUGUCUGUUGAAUCGGAGUUCUUACGAGUCUAGUUGUUUGAGAGUACAACUUAAAGUUGGUGGUAAAUUUCAUCAAAGGCUAAAUAUAUGAGGGGACUAAUAGCGAACAAGUACCAUGAGGGAAAGUUGAAAAGAACUCUGACGAGAGAGUUCAACAGUGCGUGAAACCAUAUUGAGUAAAACAGAUAACUGUGUCGUUAUGUGGUGUGUCUAUCAACAGUAUAUCGGGCGUUGCGAUUCGGCGAGUGUGAGCUGUUUAUUCAGACGAUCGCUCGUUGCUAGCAUAGCUCGAGGUUCUGUGUACUAGUGCACAUCCAAUCAUUGAGAAACUAUGCUACUGCGGCAUCGGUGCACUUCAGCCCCCGCCUAGCGGGAAGUUGUGUACUGGGCUCAGCUGGCGGCGUAGUUUAGCUGUGUGACAGCUGUGGGAUGCGUUUGUUGAAUGUGCCUGCUUUGUCUGCGAAUCGGUUUAUUCCUUUUUGCGGUGAGUAUGGUACAGUAGGCGAGCGUCUCGCCAUCAAUGGUUGACAUUAGUUAUUUGACCCGCU
RNAcentral lists this ribosomal RNA (662 nucleotides) under Amblyseius andersoni. RNAcentral's name for it is "eukaryotic LSU rRNA". It matches the Rfam family "Eukaryotic large subunit ribosomal RNA", at positions 124 to 653 of the family's 3401-position model. The record is from RNAcentral. Lineage: Eukaryota; Metazoa; Arthropoda; Arachnida; Mesostigmata; Phytoseiidae.